Dromaius novaehollandiae (emu) is the source of this 2181-nucleotide long non-coding RNA. RefSeq lists it as uncharacterized. The transcript has 2 exons. NCBI's taxonomy places the organism in Eukaryota, Metazoa, Chordata, Aves, Casuariiformes, Dromaiidae. The record is from RefSeq and is a predicted model, not a curated record.
CCUCCUUGAGGCGCGCCACGGCGUCGCCCACCUCCGGGUGCCCCAGCUCCGCCGUCAGGUCGCGCACGAUCUGCGGGAAGAAGCCCACGAAGGCGGCCCGGUCGUCCGCCGCCGCCCCGGCCCCGCUCAUCGCUGCGCCUUUUGGAGCCGCCCCGCGGGAGCGCUGGGCGCGGGGCAUGCUGGGGCGUAGUUCGCAGCCGCGAGGCCAGCGCGCGAGCGGCGCCGCUGCCAGACUACGAGCCCCGGCGUGCCCCGCGCGGGAGGGGGCGGACCCGGCUGCCGCGGGCGCCCGCCCUCAUUGGCCCGCUCCAUCGUAUGAGGAUGGGCCCAAGGGGGCUGGGCCAGUAAGAGAGCGAGGCGGAGGAGACUCGGCCUUCUGAUAGGUGGAGAGCGCGAAACGGGGUGAGCGCCCGGCGGGAGCGUGCGUGGGCUGGGCGGCGCCCGGGCGGCGAGGUGCGCGUGCGGGCUCUAGGGGCGCGGCGCGGGGGGCAGCUGCGGGGCGGGCAUGGGCUGCGGAAGGCAGGCGCAGGGCGCGUGUGUGAGGUGCGGGUGCAGUGGAGCAGUGGUGCGCAGGGUCCCUCUCCACCAGGCCGGGGGCUGGGGAUCGGUCCCCAGAGGCUGCAGGUGCCAUCGGCGUUCCCUGGCGAAGCAGGGAGCAGAGCGGAGCUGCAGACGUGUCCCGGCCCGUCCGCAGCCUGCAGAGCCGGGGAGAGUCUGGCCCGGCCCGGCCCGGCCCAGCCCUGCGCUGGGGAGGGCGAAGCGCAGGGGCCUCCUGUGCCUAGAGGGUGCCCAGGGCCACGGGGCAGCUCGUGGGCAGGCUGCGAGCCCGGUCUCGGUGGUCGUUACGGCAGCGAUAAACAUUGUGUGCUCGAACUGCUCCGGUCCCGAGCUUUGCGCCCUCUGCCUUCGCUUGCCCCGCGCUGGACGCGGCUGGGCCCAGGAGCUGAGCGCUGCUGCACUCCCAAACCUGCCCCUCUCCUCCGCGCCACUGAUUGGCAAUCUCCAGCUGAUCCACCGUAAUCCCUCAAUCGCUGCUAACUCCGGUUUAAUCAAUCUCUGCCUCCUAAUCCCUCGCCAGCCAGUGCUGCGAGAUGGGGCUGUCCAGCGGGACGCUCCGGGCCACGUGGCUUUCCUGUGCUGGGGACGGGUGAACCCCCGAUUUGACGGCCGGCUCUGGCACGGCCUUCCCACUGCUCCGGCGUGGCCUUCCUGCAGCUGCUCCGGCACACUGUUCCCACUGCUCCGGCACAGCCUUCCUGCUGCUGCUCCAGCUGCUCCGGGCACAGCGUUCCUGCUGCUCGGCCCGAACAACUCAGCCUGUGGAGUGGGGGCAAAUCGCAUCUCUGGCCGGGCACGGGGCAUACAGGCUGGAAUUACAUUCCCAAAGAAAUGCUCUUCUCCCCUCCGCAGCCUCCGAGCACCCAGCAGCUGCAGGAUGCUGGGGCUGGGGGGUGCCCACUCUGAUCAGGCUGGCUGUGGUGUAAUCUGAAAUAAUCAAGUUAGAGAGAAACUGCUAAUGAGCUCUGAUCGCAUCAUUUGUCAUGGAGCCUAAUUCCUGCCAGCAGUGGGGUGGCCCUGAUCAUCCCACAGACAUGGGCUCCUGCAGUGGGGAGAGCCGGCUGAGUGCGGUGCCGAGCCCCGGAGCAGAGCCCCGGAGGCCGGUGCGCAGAGUCCAGGCCCCACAGCAGGGUCAGAGCUCUGCAACCCCCCCAGCUGCGGCAGCUCGAGUGCCCCAGCAUGGCAUGACCUUCAUUUAAUCUAUUUAAUGCCUAAAGUCUGUUCUGCAAUCAGGCUGUAUCAAAGCUUCCCUCCCUCCCCCCAGGUUAAUAAACCGAAGGGAAAUGGAAGGGGAAAAUGACCGAAGAUUAAACAUUAAUCUCCCUGGGUCCAAAGGCAUGGGGGGAGGAUGGGAGGGGACCUGUUGCUGCUGUGCGCCGGUGGCAAGGCUGGGGAGGGAGAUGCAGCCCCGGGCGCCCCUGGCACCCCCAGGGCCGCGGGAAGGCAGAAAUUGGCUGGUGCUUUUAACAGGAUGGGGCGGUCGGGCGGCAAGGCUGCGGCCCUGCUCUGUCCUGGUGGCGGGGUGCAGAAGCAGGUGCCCCCAGACCAGCUCCGAAUCGCUCUUUAUUAUUUAAAUCCAUUAUAUACAACGACCAAAAAAUAAAAAAACGCUUUUAAAUUCUC